AUGCCGGGCGCCGCGCUAGUACAUGCAGUAGAACGCGUGAAGAGAGGAGCUUGCUCUUCUUGGAUGAGUUGCGAACGGGUGAGUAACGCGUAGGUAACCUGCCUUGUAGCGGGGGAUAACUAUUGGAAACGAUAGCUAAUACCGCAUAACAAUGGAUGACACAUGUCAUUUAUUUGAAAGGGGCAAUUGCUCCACUACAAGAUGGACCUGCGUUGUAUUAGCUAGUAGGUGAGGUAAUGGCUCACCUAGGCGACGAUACAUAGCCGACCUGAGAGGGUGAUCGGCCACACUGGGACUGAGACACGGCCCAGACUCCUACGGGAGGCAGCAGUAGGGAAUCUUCGGCAAUGGGGGCAACCCUGACCGAGCAACGCCGCGUGAGUGAAGAAGGUUUUCGGAUCGUAAAGCUCUGUUGUAAGUCAAGAACGGGUGUGAGAGUGGAAAGUUCACACUGUGACGGUAGCUUACCAGAAAGGGACGGCUAACUACGUGCCAGCAGCCGCGGUAAUACGUAGGUCCCGAGCGUUGUCCGGAUUUAUUGGGCGUAAAGCGAGCGCAGGCGGUUUGAUAAGUCUGAAGUUAAAGGCUGUGGCUCAACCAUAGUUCGCUUUGGAAACUGUCAAACUUGAGUGCAGAAGGGGAGAGUGGAAUUCCAUGUGUAGCGGUGAAAUGCGUAGAUAUAUGGAGGAACACCGGUGGCGAAAGCGGCUCUCUGGUCUGUAACUGACGCUGAGGCUCGAAAGCGUGGGGAGCGAACAGGAUUAGAUACCCCUGGUAGUCCACGCCGUAAACGAUGAGUGCUAGGUGUUGGAUCCUUUCCGGGAUUCAGUGCCGCAGCUAACGCAUUAAGCACUCCGCCUGGGGAGUACGACCGCAAGGUUGAAACUCAAAGGAAUUGACGGGGGCCCGCACAAGCGGUGGAGCAUGUGGUUUAAUUCGAAGCAACGCGAAGAACCUUACCAGGUCUUGACAUCCCGAUGCUAUUUCUAGAGAUAGAAAGUUACUUCGGUACAUCGGUGACAGGUGGUGCAUGGUUGUCGUCAGCUCGUGUCGUGAGAUGUUGGGUUAAGUCCCGCAACGAGCGCAACCCCUAUUGUUAGUUGCCAUCAUUCAGUUGGGCACUCUAGCGAGACUGCCGGUAAUAAACCGGAGGAAGGUGGGGAUGACGUCAAAUCAUCAUGCCCCUUAUGACCUGGGCUACACACGUGCUACAAUGGUUGGUACAACGAGUUGCGAGUCGGUGACGGCGAGCUAAUCUCUUAAAGCCAAUCUCAGUUCGGAUUGUAGGCUGCAACUCGCCUACAUGAAGUCGGAAUCGCUAGUAAUCGCGGAUCAGCACGCCGCGGUGAAUACGUUCCCGGGCCUUGUACACACCGCCCGUCACACCACGAGAGUUUGUAACACCCGAAGUCGGUGAGGUAACCUUUGGAGCCAGCCGCCUAAGGUGACAGAG
RNAcentral lists this ribosomal RNA (1453 nucleotides) under Streptococcus thermophilus. RNAcentral describes it as "bacterial SSU rRNA". It matches the Rfam family "Bacterial small subunit ribosomal RNA". The record is from RNAcentral. Lineage: Bacteria; Bacillati; Bacillota; Bacilli; Lactobacillales; Streptococcaceae.